RNAcentral lists this long non-coding RNA (294 nucleotides) under Elaeis guineensis (African oil palm). RNAcentral's name for it is "long non-coding RNA (EGUI_LNC059918)". Lineage: Eukaryota; Viridiplantae; Streptophyta; Magnoliopsida; Arecales; Arecaceae. The record is from RNAcentral.
UGGUGGCUUUAUGAAGGUGCUUUGAUCAAGAGAUUUAUCUCGCUUUCCUGCAUUGCCUGGCGUGCGCACGAAGUAGAGAGCCUACAGUUCCAGGUCUAUGCGAAAGUUGAAUCCAGAUUUUGGACAUUUGAUCUCCAAUUUUGCUACAAUCCAGAUAAAGAUUUGAUCUUUAUUCAGAUAGAUUUAUAAAAAAUUGAUAGAUGCAACUCUAGUUAUCCAUAAGAAACAGGUUUCUUUCCCUUCACAGAGCUCUCAAUAGGUGAGUCACUUAUUCAGUGACGAUGUACUCCUAUA